This 513-nucleotide ribosomal RNA is filed under the name uncultured bacterium. Its description in RNAcentral is "bacterial SSU rRNA". It matches the Rfam family "Bacterial small subunit ribosomal RNA", at positions 16 to 507 of the family's 1533-position model. The record is from RNAcentral.
AUCCUGGCUCAGAGCGAACGUUAGCGGCGCGCCUAACACAUGCAAGUCGCACGAGAAAGGGGGNAACCCCCGGUACAGUGGCGCACGGGUGAGUAACACGUGGGUGAUCUGCCCAGAAGAAGGGGAUAACCUCUCGAAAGGGGGGCUAAUACCGCAUAGGACCACCGGGGGCUUUGGCUCUGUGGUGAAAGGGGGUCUCUGUUUACAAGCUCCUGCUUCUGGAUGAGCCCGCGUCCCAUCAGCUAGUUGGUAGGGUAAUGGCCUACCAAGGCUACGACGGGUAGCUGGUCUAAGAGGAUGGCCAGCCACACUGGAACUGAGACACGGUCCAGACUCCUACGGGAGGCAGCAGUGGGGAAUCUUGCGCAAUGGGCGAAAGCCUGACGCAGCGACGCCGCGUGGGUGACGAAGGCCUUCGGGUUGUAAAGCCCUGUGGGGUAGAACGAACUGGCAUCGGGCUAAUAUCCCGGUGUCUUGACGGUACUGCCUUAGCAAGCAUCGGCUAACUCUGUG